This 432-nucleotide ribosomal RNA is filed under the name uncultured bacterium. RNAcentral's name for it is "bacterial SSU rRNA". It matches the Rfam family "Bacterial small subunit ribosomal RNA", at positions 916 to 1345 of the family's 1533-position model. The record is from RNAcentral.
GGGACCCGCACAAGCAGUGGAGCAUGUGGUUUAAUUCGAAGAUACGCGCAGAACCUUACCAACACUUGACAUGUUCGUCGCGAGACUAAGAGAUUAGUCUUUUCAGUUAGGCUGGACGAAACACAGGUGCUGCAUGGCUGUCGUCAGCUCGUGUCGUGAGAUGUUGGGUUAAGUCCCGCAACGAGCGCAACCCCCUACUUUUAGUUGCCACCAUUCAGUUGGGCACUUUAAAAGAACUGCCAGUGAUAAGCUGGAGGAAGGUGGGGAUGACGUCAAGUCCUCAUGGCCCUUAUGUGUUGGGCUACACACGUGCUACAAUGGUACUUACAAUGGGAUGCAAAGAGGCGACUCUUAGCUAAUCCCUAAAAUGUACCUCAGUUCGGAUUGUACUCUGUAACUCGAGUGCAUGAAGCUGGAAUUGCUAGUAAUCGC